ACUCAAAGGAAUUGACGGGGACCCGCACAAGCGGUGGAGUAUGUGGUUUAAUUCGACGCUACGCGCAGAACCUUACCAGCUCUUGACAUGGAACGUGUGGGGACCAGAGAUGGUCUCCUUCAGUUAGAUGGCGUUCACACAGGUGCUGCAUGGCUGUCGUCAGCUCGUGUCGUGAGAUGUUGGGUUAAGUCCCGCAACGAGCGCAACCCUCGUCGCUAGUUGCCAGCAGGUUAAGCUGGGCACUUUAGCGAGACUGCCGGUGGUAAGCCGGAUGAAGGUGAGGAUGAGGUCAAGUCAUCAUGGCCCUUAUGGGCUGGGCUACACACGUACUACAAUGGUCGUGACAGCAGGGAGCUAAGGAGCAAUCCGGAGCCAAUCCCGAAAAGCGGCCUCAGUUCAGAUUGUCCUCUGCAACUCGAGGGCAUGAAGUCGGAAUCGCUAGUAAUCGUGGAUCAGCAUGCCACGGUGAAUCCGUUCUCGGGUCUUGUACACACCGCCCGU
This 501-nucleotide ribosomal RNA is filed under the name uncultured bacterium. Its description in RNAcentral is "bacterial SSU rRNA". It matches the Rfam family "Bacterial small subunit ribosomal RNA", at positions 899 to 1397 of the family's 1533-position model. The record is from RNAcentral.